GAAGUGCGAUAAGCAAUGCGAAUUGCAGAAUUCCGCGAAUCAUCAGAUCUUUGAACGCAAAUGGCGCCGGAGGGAUAUCCUUUCGGCAUGUCUGUUUCAGUGUCUGAGAGGUUUCAUACUAAUCUUAAUGUGAUUGAGAAGACGAAUGAUUUACUUACACUAAAUUAUUCAUUCUUCUCUCUCAUGAAAGAUGUGUGAGUGGAUCUUUCGGUCCCAUGAAGUGGUCACAUCACUCGCAUGUGAUUUCAUUGGGAAAUCACCGAAUUAUCCGCAUACUCACAGUAUCCAAAACAAAACUUCCAUACCCUGCAUCUGAGAUAGGCAAGAUCACCCGCUGAACUUAA
RNAcentral lists this unclassified non-coding RNA (344 nucleotides) under uncultured fungus. RNAcentral's name for it is "sequence contains ITS1". The stretch from base 1 to 105 matches the Rfam family "5.8S ribosomal RNA", at positions 50 to 154 of the family's 154-position model. The record is from RNAcentral. Lineage: Eukaryota; Fungi.